GGGGACGUUCUGGAUUCGACAGGGGUAGGUCGUGCUUAAGUGGCGAGUCGAGCUGGGUGUCCUCGUAUAAAACGCCCAUCGCCUAUAGUUGGCAAACAAGAUAACGAUUUCGCUUUAGCAGCGGCGUAACAACCCUGUUAGCGGUUCCUCCCUACAUCGCCCAUGUGUUAGGAUCAGGGACUCACUCUAGUGGGAUACGCCUGGAGUUCUCCACCUGAGGACAAUAGGAAGAGAUUAAUCAGGUUAGCCUCACAGAAGCCUGUCUGUUGGCUGAAGUGACGGCGAAAUUCCAAUAAACUGACUACACUCGUAGAAGCUUAUGAUGCGUUACCCCUGGACGUGGGUUCGAUUCCCACCGUCUCCACCA
RNAcentral lists this transfer-messenger RNA (367 nucleotides) under Salipaludibacillus keqinensis. RNAcentral's name for it is "Standard tmRNA". It matches the Rfam family "transfer-messenger RNA". Rfam says of the family: Bacterial tmRNA, also known as 10Sa RNA or SsrA, is named for its dual tRNA and mRNA-like properties. Lineage: Bacteria; Bacillati; Bacillota; Bacilli; Caryophanales; Bacillaceae. The record is from Rfam by way of RNAcentral.